AUUGAACGCUGGCGGCAUGCCUUACACAUGCAAGUCGAACGGCAGCACGGGUGCUUGCACCUGGUGGCGAGUGGCGAACGGGUGAGUAAUACAUCGGAACAUGUCCUGUAGUGGGGGAUAGCCCGGCGAAAGCCGGAUUAAUACCGCAUACGAUCUACGGAUGAAAGCGGGGGACCUUCGGGCCUCGCGCUAUAGGGUUGGCCGAUGGCUGAUUAGCUAGUUGGUGGGGUAAAGGCCUACCAAGGCGACGAUCAGUAGCUGGUCUGAGAGGACGACCAGCCACACUGGGACUGAGGCACCGCCCAGACUCCUACGGGAGGGCGCAGUGGGGAAUUUUUGACAAUGGGCGAAAGCCUGAUCCAGCAAUGCCGCGUGUGUGAAGAAGGCCUUCGGGUUGUAAAGCACUUUUGUCCGGAAAGAAAUCCUUGGCCCUAAUACGGUCGGGGGAUGACGGUACCGGAAGAAUAAGCACCGGCUAACUACGUG
Molecule: ribosomal RNA, 486 nt
Filed under: uncultured bacterium
Lineage: Bacteria
Description: partial 16S ribosomal RNA
Rfam family: Bacterial small subunit ribosomal RNA
Source: RNAcentral